CCUAACUCCCCGAUCUCCCCUGCUCGAAGCCGCACUCUUCGUUCCCUCUCUUCUUCCUCUGUUCUCUCUCUCUCGGGCGAAUCAGAGGCGAAGGGAGCAGAGCUUCUCCUUCGGUGAUCAUCCUCAGUCGCCGGAGCUUGCUGGAGCCCGACCGGACCGGCGGAGUCCAGAUCUUCUUCAGCCUCGGCAAGCGGCAGCGGCGGUCGGCCAUCUCCGCCCUAAUCGGUUUCGUCGGAGGGAAAUUAGGGUUGUCACUGAUCUUGGAGGGCUGGAGAUACUGACUAUACCCUGGCUGCGAUCUUGGAGGCAAGGAUCGAUUCUUUGUUGUCUGUUCUUGCUCUUCUUCCUUGCCGCUGACUAAGGUCCCUGUUGAGUGAAGGGUGUUUGAGUUGUCGGGCAAUGCCUAGAAGAGUUGUUGCUGGAUCAGUGAUCUCCUUGAUUGAUCUCUUGUUGUAAUCCUAUUGAUUUCCAGUGAGGUUGAGCGUCCUGUGGAUCUAGAAUUGGGUUCUGUGGCUUCUGGGUUUCGGCAGCACCUCAACCAGUAGCUCCUCUGGUUUCAACAAUCAACAGUGGUUGUUAAUUAAGGAUCUUGUCUGGUCCAGUAGGGCACUUUGUUUUCCAACAGCUCAAUUGAGGACUUUGAUUCGAGACAGGCGUCUCGACGUUGGAUUUGGCGUGAUUGUACCUUCUAUUGGA
Zingiber officinale is the source of this 696-nucleotide long non-coding RNA. RefSeq lists it as uncharacterized. The transcript is spliced from 4 exons. The record is from RefSeq and is a predicted model, not a curated record. NCBI's taxonomy places the organism in Eukaryota, Viridiplantae, Streptophyta, Magnoliopsida, Zingiberales, Zingiberaceae.